AGAGUUCGAUCCUGGCUCAGGAUGAACGCUGGCGGCGCGCCUAACACAUGCAAGUCGAACGGUUAAAGCCCCUUCGGGGGUGCAUAGAGUGGCGAACGGCUGAGUAACACGUGGGCAACCUGCCCCCCGCACCGGGACAGCCUCGGGAAACCGUGGUUAAUACCGGAUACUCCGCCACCCCCGCAUGGGGGCGGCGGGAAAGCCCAGGCGGAGGGGGAUGGGCCCGCGGCCUGUUAGCUCGUUGGCGGGGUAACGGCCCACCAAGGCGAUGAUGGGUAGCCGGGUUGAGAGACCGACCGGCCAGAUUGGGACUGAGACACGGCCCAGACUCCUACGGGAGGCAGCAGUGGGGAAUCUUGCACAAUGGGCGAAAGCCUGAUGCAGCGACGCCGCGUGCGGGACGAAGGCCUUCGGGUCGUAAACCGCUUUCAGCAGGGACGAGGCCGCGAGGUGACGGUACCUGCAGAAGAAGCCCCGGCUAACUACGUGCCAGCAGCCGCGGUAAUACGUAGGGGGCGAGCGUUAUCCGGAUUCAUUGGGCGUAAAGCGCGCGCAGGCGGCCUGCUCGGUCGGGAGUCAAAUCCGGGGGCUCAACCCCCGCCCGCUCCCGAUACCGGCGGGCUUGAGUCUGGUAGGGGAAGGCGGAAUUCCCAGUGUAGCGGUGGAAUGCGCAGAUAUUGGGAAGAACACCGGUGGCGAAGGCGGCCUUCUGGGCCACGACUGACGCUGAGGCGCGAAAGCUAGGGGAGCGAACAGGAUUAGAUACCCUGGUAGUCCUAGCCGUAAACGAUGGACACUAGGUGUGGGGGGAGGAUCCCUCCGUGCCGCAGCCAACGCAUUAAGUGUCCCGCCUGGGGAGUACGGCCGCAAGGCUAAAACUCAAAGGAAUUGACGGGGGCCCGCACAAGCGGCGGAGCAUGCGGAUUAAUUCGAUGCAACGCGAAGAACCUUACCAAGGCUUGACAUGCGCCCCGGGCGCGCGGAGACGCGCGCGCAUUUGGUUGGGGGUGUGCAGGUGGUGCAUGGUUGUCGUCAGCUCGUGUCGUGAGAUGUUGGGUUAAGUCCCGCAACGAGCGCAACCCCCGUCGCAUGUUGCCAGCGGUUAGGCCGGGCACCCAUGCGAGACCGCCGGCGUCAAGCCGGAGGAAGGUGGGGACGACGUCAAGUCAUCAUGCCCCUUAUGUCCUGGGCUGCACACGUGCUACAAUGGCCGGCACAGCGGGCCGCCACCGCGCGAGCGGGAGCGAAUCCCCAAAGCCGGCCCCAGUUCGGAUUGGAGGCUGCAACCCGCCUCCAUGAAGUCGGAGUUGCUAGUAAUCGCGGAUCAGCACGCCGCGGUGAAUGCGUUCCCGGGCCUUGUACACACCGCCCGUCACACCACCCGAGUCGUCUGCACCCGAAGUCGCCGGCCCAACCCGCGAGGGGGGGAGGCGCCGAAGGUGUGGAGGGUAAGGGGGGUGAAGUCGUAACAAGGUAGCCGUACCGGAAGGUGCGGCUG
This 1498-nucleotide ribosomal RNA is filed under the name uncultured Olsenella sp. RNAcentral's name for it is "bacterial SSU rRNA". It matches the Rfam family "Bacterial small subunit ribosomal RNA". The record is from RNAcentral. Lineage: Bacteria; Bacillati; Actinomycetota; Coriobacteriia; Coriobacteriales; Atopobiaceae.